Molecule: ribosomal RNA, 430 nt
Filed under: uncultured bacterium
Lineage: Bacteria
Description: bacterial SSU rRNA
Rfam family: Bacterial small subunit ribosomal RNA
Source: RNAcentral
UGGGGAAUUUUGGACAAUGGGGGAAACCCUGAUCCAGCGACGCCGCGUGGGUGAUGAAGGCUUUCGGGUCGUAAAGCCCUGUCUGGGGGGACGAAACUCUCGCCGGUAAACAAUCGGCGAGACUGACGGUACCUCCGAAGGAAGCACCGGCUAACUCCGUGCCAGCAGCCGCGGUAAGACGGAGGGUGCAAGCGUUGUUCGGAAUUACUGGGCGUAAAGGGCGCGUAGGCGGUCUGUUAAGUUCGGUGUGAAAUCCCCCGGCUCACCCGGGGAAGGGCGCCGGAUACUGGCAGACUCGAGUACCGGAGAGGAGGGUGGAAUUCCUGGUGUAGCGGUGAAAUGCGUAGAUAUCAGGAGGAACACCGGUGGCGAAGGCGGCCCUCUGGACGGAUACUGACGCUGAGGCGCGAAAGCGUGGGGAUCAAACAGG